CCUACGGGUGGCAGCAGUGAGGAAUAUUGGUCAAUGGCCGAAAGGCUGAACCAGCCAAGUCGCGUGAAGGAUGAAGGCUCUAUGGGUUGUAAACCUCUUUUAUAGGGGAACAAAGGUCUGGACGUGUGGCUACUUGCGUGUACCCUCUGAAAAAGCAUCGGCUAACUCCGUGCCAGCAGCCGCGGUAAUACGGAGGAUGCGAGCGUUAUCCGGAUUUAUUGGGUUUAAAGGGUGCGUAGGUGGUUUUUAAAGUCAGCGGUAAAAUUGGGGGGCUCAACCUAAUAGUGCCGUUGAAAAGGGGAGCCUUGAGUGUGUGUGAGGUACGCGGAAUGCGUGGUGUAGCGGUGAAAUGCAUAGAUAUCACGCAGAACUCCGAUUGCGAAGGCAGCUUAC
RNAcentral lists this ribosomal RNA (393 nucleotides) under uncultured bacterium. RNAcentral describes it as "partial 16S ribosomal RNA". It matches the Rfam family "Bacterial small subunit ribosomal RNA", at positions 338 to 729 of the family's 1533-position model. The record is from RNAcentral.